AGGCCCAGAUCACCAUUCAGGGAGCUGUGACCAUGAGGGCAGGAGUCACAUAAAUUGUCAAGGAAGAAUUGCCUGUGGUGGUUCUUGUGGGAAGAGAGCAAUGGACUUAGCUCCCAUUUAUGGUGCCACACCCUGCCCUGCUCACUGGUGAAAACUGAAAAGGGAAGACGGUCCAUUUGUAGUUGAAUAGAGCUCUAGGUUAACUUUAUGAUUUACCUGGGGACAUACCAUAGUUCUAGAGUUGGAAAUCCACAGUAAGACUUUUUCCGUCGAAUUAUACUAACAAUAGAUCUAUAAUAGCCCUUUCCUCUCUUAUUCAUUGCCUCUGUAGAUAUUUUUUGUUCCUCUCUGGUGAGAAGGAACUGGCUAAUGUGGGACUCUGGGGUGGGAAUAGAUGGUGUUUUAAUUUUUCCCACAUGGAACCUUGGGCAUACUCCCAUUGUGACAGGUACCUUUGUAUACAGGCAGCUUUCUCACUAGACUGUUAGAUUCUUUUCUGUGCCUAAGAAUUAGGAUAUUGAUGAUUGGUUGCUGAAAGGAUGGAUUAUAAGAUAAUGACUAAUGCAGUUCAGUGAUGGGUAGAUGGUCACUCAAGAAGGCUGGCUUAGAGUCCUGGGGACCGGGGUUCAUAGAGAGUCGUCAUAGAGUAUGACAACCAUCAUAGAGUAUGAAAGCUGGCAGGAGAAACUAGUUAUACUUCUCUCCUUCAAUUUCACUUUUGACUUUCCAGAAUGGUGUAACAAAUUAAGAUUAGACUGAAAAUUAAGAUUGAACUGAAUCAGACUCUUUAAAUUGGAGUUCCAUUUCUAAUGAUGUCAGUUCUCUCUUGGUGAAAUAGGACAAGUUUCUUAACCUCCCAGAUCCAAUUUCCUCUUUUGGAAAUAUGGGAAUUAACAGUACCUACCUCACAAGAUUAAAUGAAAUAUCACGUGUAAAGCACUCAGUGCAAGCUCAACAAGUCAUCUUUCCCUCUCUUGUACUUUCAUCCAAGCAGUCCUUGUUGCAUAUCUGACAUUUAGAAACUUGGCCUUGUCAAUGUUUAAGCAAUGAUGGUGUUGAGAAUCAAUAAGCCUUGUUAGGGAGUAAUGUUUUUCAUAGAUUCUCCAGCCAUAUUUUUCAUGAUAAGAGGUUUUUCUGAGAGGUGAUUUCUGACAUUCUGCACAAAUCAAAAUUAUUCAAGGAGACAAAGGCAUUGAUCAUCUUCUCGUUGCUUGUUUUCCUUGACCCCUCUGGCAGCUUUACCAGCAUUCUCUAUAAAUGCCACAUAUAAAUUAAAACUGGCUUUUGCAAGUAGAUAAUUCACCCCAC
Molecule: long non-coding RNA, 1308 nt
Filed under: Homo sapiens (human)
Lineage: Eukaryota; Metazoa; Chordata; Mammalia; Primates; Hominidae
Description: non-protein coding lnc-GRAMD2B-18:1
Source: RNAcentral